Molecule: ribosomal RNA, 487 nt
Filed under: uncultured bacterium
Lineage: Bacteria
Description: partial 16S ribosomal RNA
Rfam family: Bacterial small subunit ribosomal RNA
Source: RNAcentral
GAUGAACGCUAGCGAUAGGCUUAACACACGCAAGUCGAGGGGCAGCACAAGGUAGCUUGCUAUCUGGGUGGCGACCGGCGCACGGGUGCGUAACGCGUAUGCAACUUGCCCUAUACAGGAGGAUAACCCGUCGAAAGACGGACUAAUACUGCGUAUGCUCACAACUUGGCAUCAAGUGGUGAGGAAAGAAAUUCGGUAUAGGAUAGGCAUGCGUCCCAUUAGCUUGUUGGUGAGGUAACGGCUCACCAAGGCAACGAUGGGUAGGGGAACUGAGAGGUUUAUCCCCCACACUGGUACUGAGACACGGACCAGACUCCUACGGGAGGCAGCAGUGAGGAAUAUUGGUCAAUGGGCGCGAGCCUGAACCAGCCAAGUCGCGUGAAGGAUGACUGUCUUAUGGAUUGUAAACUUCUUUUAUACGGGAAUAACAAGAGUCACGUGUGACUCCCUGCAUGUACCGUAUGAAUAAGCAUUGGCUAACUCCGUG